ACCUAGAUGGCUGAGUCCGUAAAGCAUGUGACUCUUGAUCUCAGGCUUGUGAGUUUGAGCCUCACAUUGGGUG
This 73-nucleotide transfer RNA is filed under the name Ailuropoda melanoleuca (giant panda). It matches the Rfam family "tRNA". From Rfam's summary of the family: Transfer RNA (tRNA) molecules are approximately 80 nucleotides in length. Their secondary structure includes four short double-helical elements and three loops (D, anti-codon, and T loops). Lineage: Eukaryota; Metazoa; Chordata; Mammalia; Carnivora; Ursidae. The record is from Rfam by way of RNAcentral.